AUCACUUAAUCCCCACUUCACCCUAAUUGUGAAGGCUUAGGUGGGACUUGAAUGGUGCUAGUUCUCUGCAGAGGGGUAAAUUUCUCCCUGACUGAAUGAUGCCCAACUAGAGACUGCAGGAUUUGGCUUUCAGUGCCACUUAAGUGUUCAGGCCCGUUUAAAGAGUUCUGGUGUUUUACAUGGUUAUCUCGCAGUAAAGACUUCCAUCAUCUGAAGUGCUUAUGCACCUAGAGGUUUUAUACUAAUUCAAGACUUCAGAAGGAUUUGAAUCAGUUUUAACUGUAAUGAUGUGGUAUGGUAAUUACAAAGCACUCAUGCAAAUCCUAGGAAUUAAACUAGCUUAGGUGCUUAUGAUACAUUAAGAAUUUAUACUUCUUAUGACCUUGUGACUCCUUCUCGCCUGAUACCUUGGGGAACUGAAUACCAAAAGCCCAGAGCCUUGUGUAACAGUCACACCUGAGAAGGAUACAGAUUUGCUGGGACAAUCUGUACAUACUUCACCUAAUCGGGACUUAGGAGUAUUCCUUUUUUUACUUGAUUGUGGCCUGGACUUCAGUUUACUGAAGAUCGAAACUACUGAUUUAACUUAAGUCUUUGGGCUUCACAAAGGUCAUCAGGGUGAAAUUAAACGGUAUAGAUACGGAAGAGUCAGAGUAAAAGAGAGGGUACAGGCGACAGCAUGCUCCAGCUGUAUCCCAUCACACCGUGUGUGGUACACCUGCCAAAGCCAGUGGUCAUUUGAUCCUUGGUCAUGACCUUGCCUAAAAGGGGAAGAUGUUGAUGUUGAGCUCUGUGUGUUUGCAGUCCUCAACAGGAAGAGUAAAUUUUGUCAUUGCUGACUCCUAGGGGCCAGUUGUUUGCCUUUGUAGCUAAUCCCUGGGUAGCUCUAAACCUACACAGUUUGGUCUAAUUUCAGAGAAUGGACUUAAAUCCUAUAGUUCAAGUUUUGGGGAUAUGUGUUUCUUAGGCUCCAGGGGAUUUGCAUUUUAAGUCCGUUACUGCAGAAAACAUAAUGCAGCUUAUCACUCCAAUUGUGCUGCAGGAUCAAAAGUUAUUUGGGGCAUAAGACCAGCAUGUAACCACACCAGUUUUAUGCCAUGCUUACACCUCUCGGGAGGUGAAUACCGGGAUCAGAACGACUACACAAUCGAGGUAGGGAAACAGGAAGGUUUCUAGAAAGGAGCAGGUUGCAGCCAGAGAGGUAAAUUACUACAGGGAAGAUAGGGGGUGUGAGCACAGAAAGUUAAAGUUGGAACUGAUUAGGUGAUUAUAUAUCAAAAUUGCAUGGCUAGGUCAAAUAAAUAUGAGAAGUAUAAUUUGUGAAGAAAAUAUGUGGACUUUGACAUAUAAUCACUACUAAAACAGGAUGCUAUAAGGAAAACUUGGGGAUAAUGUGGUAGAAGUUGCUACCCAGUAGCUGAGUGUGUGAAUCUGCAGAAGGGCACCUUUUCCAUGCCGGCUCGUUAGGUGGAAUCUCUCAGUGAGUAACCUUGGUAGCAUCGAUCCACACAAAGAGAUACGACAUCGUAUCUGCUGUGCUGUAAAUGUAUACCCAUCUGCACAGUUACUUCCCCUUGCAGACAAGCCUUUUGUUAUAAAUUAUGCAGCUAAACAGUUGCCAUACAGAGAGGGUGUAGCAAUAGGAGGAAGGUUUUAUAGCGCAGAGAGCAUCGGCCAGAAUUCAGAACUGAGGGGAGCAGACGAUGCUGGUGCUGUCUGUGCGCAGGAACCUGAGGCCACGAGAGUGCAACUGUUGCAGCAGCAUUCUCUUGGCAGUUACAGGAUCAGAAGAAUGACAUUGGGUGUGUAAUCUAGAGAAAGAAAAGUAUUGACCGGGUUUGUUCUGAGAGUAUGGAUGGGUAUACUUUUGAGAGGUUUAAUGUGUGAUGACAGCAAAUUUUUUUCAGGCUAUUUCUUCAUUGUGCCAGUUCACUGGCAAAAAAUAUGAACUAAUUUUGUUCAUGUGACAAAUGUAGCACAUUAUCAUUACGGGAACGUGAGGAUAGCAAAGGCUAAACCUUUUAAUUAAUAAAUUAUCUUAGAAAAGGAUUUUCUGUCAACAUAUUUAAAGUAUUUAUUAUGUUUUAGUUGAAAGAAUUUGUUCAUCUCUAAUAAUUUUAGCCACCCCUUAGCUGCCUGGUUAGGAGUCCAUCAUUUGUUUGGUCAUAUGAAGGUUUUUAAAUAAGGCUCAGAGCUGGACCUUUUAAAAAAAAAAAAAACCAAAAAACC
Harpia harpyja (harpy eagle) is the source of this 2229-nucleotide long non-coding RNA. RefSeq lists it as uncharacterized. The record is from RefSeq and is a predicted model, not a curated record. The transcript has 2 exons. Lineage: Eukaryota; Metazoa; Chordata; Aves; Accipitriformes; Accipitridae.